CUAUGCGCCUUGCCAGCCCGCUCAGGUGUGCCAGCCGCCGCGGUAAUACGUAGGGGCGAGCGUUAUCCGGAUUUACUGGGUGUAAAGGGAGCGUAGACGGUGUUGUAAGUCAUUAGUCAAAGACUAGAGCUCAACUUUAGUAAGGCUAGUGAUACUAUAAUACUAGGGUAUCAGAGAGGAUUGCAGAAUUCCUGGUGUAGCGGUGAAAUGCGUAGAUAUUAGGAGGAACACCAGUGGCGAAGGCGACUUUCUGAACUGUACCUGACGCUGAGGCGCGAAAGCGUGGGUAGCGAACGGG
Molecule: ribosomal RNA, 298 nt
Filed under: uncultured bacterium
Lineage: Bacteria
Description: partial 16S ribosomal RNA
Rfam family: Bacterial small subunit ribosomal RNA
Source: RNAcentral